RNAcentral lists this ribosomal RNA (1690 nucleotides) under Fusobacterium periodonticum 2_1_31. RNAcentral describes it as "bacterial LSU rRNA". It matches the Rfam family "Bacterial large subunit ribosomal RNA", at positions 1220 to 2925 of the family's 2925-position model. The record is from RNAcentral. Lineage: Bacteria; Fusobacteriati; Fusobacteriota; Fusobacteriia; Fusobacteriales; Fusobacteriaceae.
AAGGAUUGGUAGGAGAGCGUUCUGUAGGCCGUUGAAGGAGAAGGGUAACCGACUCUGGAGGUAUCAGAAGUGAGAAUGCAGGAAUAAGUAGCGAGAAAGGGGGCGAGAAUCCCCCUCGCCGGAAGACCAAGGUUUUCAGGGUAAAGCUUGUCUUCCCUGAGUAAGCCGGGACCUAAGCCCAGGCUAUAAUGCGUAGGCGAAUGGAAAACAGAUUAAUAUUUCUGUGCCAGUCAUAUAUUGUGAUGGAGGGACGCAGAAGGGUAUGCGCGCGGACGAACGGAAGUGUCCGUAGAAGUAUGUAGGAUGACUUGAUAGGUAAAUCCAUUGAGUUAUAUCUGAGGUAUGAUAUACAGUCGUAAGAUGAAUGUGCAAAUCCCACGCUGCCAAGAAAAGCUUCUAACGUUAAUAUUUGACUGCCCGUACUGUAAACCGACACAGGUGGUCAGGAUGAGAAAUCUAAGGCGGACAGGCUAACUCUCGUUAAGGAACUCUGCAAAAUAACCUCGUAACUUCGGGAGAAGAGGAGCCCUUGGGUGUUAGUAUCCAUGCGUUACAAAGCACUCGAGGGUCGCAGUGAAGAGGCUCAAGCAACUGUUUAACAAAAACACAGGUCUAUGCUAAGCUGGAAGGCGAUGUAUAUGGGCUGACACCUGCCCAGUGCUGGAAGGUUAAGAGGAGGAGUGAGAGCUCCGAAUUGAAGCCCCAGUGAACGGCGGCCGUAACUAUAACGGUCCUAAGGUAGCGAAAUUCCUUGUCGGGUAAGUUCCGACCUGCACGAAUGGUGUAAUGAUUUGAGCGCUGUCUUGACGGGAGGCCUGGUGAAAUUGUAUUACCGGUGAAGAUACCGGUUACCUACAGUAGGACGGAAAGACCCCAUGGAGCUUUACUGUAGCUUGGUAUUGGGUUUUGGCAUUGCAUGUAUAGGAUAGUUGGGAGACUGUGAUGAUAUGGCGCUAGCUGUAUCGGAGUCAUCGGUGGAAUACCAACCAUUCAAUGCUGAAAUUCUAAUCUGUGGUUUGUAGCCACGGAGACAGUGCUAGGUGGGCAGUUUGACUGGGGCGGUCGCCUCCGAAAGAGUAACGGAGGCGUUCAAAGGUUCUCUCAGGUUGGAUGGAAAUCAACCAUAGAGUGCAAUGGCAUAAGAGAGCUUGACUGCAAGACUGACGGGUCGAGCAGAUGCGAAAGCAGGACAUAGUGAUCCGGCGAUUCCGAAUGGAAGGGUCGUCGCUCAACGGAUAAAAGCUACCCUGGGGAUAACAGGCUGAUCCUACCCGAGAGUCCAUAUCGACGGUAGGGUUUGGCACCUCGAUGUCGGCUCAUCGCAUCCUGGGGCUGGAGAAGGUCCCAAGGGUUGGGCUGUUCGCCCAUUAAAGCGGUACGUGAGCUGGGUUCAGAACGUCGUGAGACAGUUCGGUCCCUAUCCACUGUAGGCGUUAGAAUAUUGAGAAGACCUGUCCUUAGUACGAGAGGACCGGGAUGGACAAACCUCUGAUGUACCAGUUGUCACGCCAGUGGCACAGCUGGGUAGUCACGUUUGGAAUAGAUAACCGCUGAAAGCAUCUAAGCGGGAAACUAACUUCAAGAUAAGUAUUCUUUAAGAUACCUUCGAGCCUAGGAGGUUGAUAGGUUGGGGGUGUAAGUGCAGCAAUGCAUUUAGCUGACCAAUACUAAUUAUCGAAGUUUUAAUCUA